UACGUAGGGUGCAGGCGUUAUUCGGAAUUACUGGGCGUAAAGCGUGCGCAGGCGGUUUGCUAAGUCAGGUGUGAAAUCCCCGGGCUUAACCUGGGAACUGCGCUUGUAACUGGCAAGCUAGAGUGUGGCAGAGGGGGGUGGAAUUCCACGUGUAGCAGUGAAAUGCGUAGAGAUGUGGAGGAACACCGAUGGCGAAGGCAGCCGCCUGGGCUAACACUGACGCUCAGGCACGAAAGCGUGGGGAGCAAACAGG
RNAcentral lists this ribosomal RNA (253 nucleotides) under uncultured bacterium. RNAcentral's name for it is "partial 16S ribosomal RNA". It matches the Rfam family "Bacterial small subunit ribosomal RNA", at positions 524 to 776 of the family's 1533-position model. The record is from RNAcentral.